GGUUGCGAUCAUACCAGCACUAAUGCACCGGAUCCCAUCAGCACUCCGUAGUUAAGCGUGCAUGGGUGAGAGUAGUACUAGGAUGGGUGACCCCCUGGGAAGUCCUCGUGUUGCAACUCCCUUUUUUUAGUUUUUUGGUUUAUUUUAUUUACUAGUCACUGUAUCUUUGGCGUAGCAUGCGAGCGGCCGAUUUUUUGAAAGGAAGGCUUUGAUGAAGGUGCGCACGCGCACGGCGGACUCGAGGCGCGUGACGUAGGCCACACAUGAGGGCAUAGGUGCGCAUGGGAUCAAGGCGUGGUAGGUAUUCUUUCGGUUGCGAUCAUACCAACACUAAUGCAUUGGAUCCCAUCAGAACUCCGCAGUUAAGCGUACUUGGGCGAGAGUAGUACUAGGAUGGGUGACCCCCUGGGAAGUCCUCGUGUUGCAACCCC
Molecule: long non-coding RNA, 431 nt
Filed under: Helianthus annuus (common sunflower)
Lineage: Eukaryota; Viridiplantae; Streptophyta; Magnoliopsida; Asterales; Asteraceae
Source: RNAcentral